GUAGGGAAUAUUGGACAAUGGGGGCAACCCUGAUCCAGCGACGCCGCGUGAGUGAUGAAGGCCUUCGGGUCGUAAAGCUCUGUUGCAGGGGAAGAACACAAUGACGGUACCCUGCUAGAAAGGAUCGGCUAACUUCGUGCCAGCAGCCGCGGUAAGACGAGGGAUCCUAGCGUUGUUCGGAAUUAUUGGGCGUAAAGCGGGUGCAGGUGGCUUGGUAAGUCAGAUGUGAAAGCCUGGGGCUUAACCCCAGAAGUGCAUUUGAUACUGCUGAGCUUGAGUGCUGGAGAGGCUAUUAGAAUUCCUGGUGUAGUGGUGAAAUACGUAGAUAUCAGGAGGAAUACCGGAGGCGAAGGUGGAUAGCUGGCCAGACACUGACACUCAGACCCGAAAGCGUGGGGAUCAAACAGGAUUAGAAACCCGGGUAGUCC
This 428-nucleotide ribosomal RNA is filed under the name uncultured bacterium. RNAcentral's name for it is "partial 16S ribosomal RNA". It matches the Rfam family "Bacterial small subunit ribosomal RNA", at positions 354 to 796 of the family's 1533-position model. The record is from RNAcentral.